AUGAACGCUGGCGGCGUGCCUCAUACAUGCAAGUCGAGCGAACAGACGAGGAGCUUGCUCCUCUGACGUUAGCGGCGGACGGGUGAGUAACACGUGGAUAACCUACCUAUAAGACUGGGAUAACUUCGGGAAACCGGAGCUAAUACCGGAUAAUAUAUUGAACCGCAUGGUUCAAUAGUGAAAGGCGGUUUUGCUGUCACUUAUAGAUGGAUCCGCGCCGCAUUAGCUAGUUGGUAAGGUAACGGCUUACCAAGGCAACGAUGCGUAGCCGACCUGAGAGGGUGAUCGGCCACACUGGAACUGAGACACGGUCCAGACUCCUACGGGAGGCAGCAGUAGGGAAUCUUCCGCAAUGGGCGAAAGCCUGACGGAGCAACGCCGCGUGAGUGAUGAAGGUCUUCGGAUCGUAAAACUCUGUUAUUAGGGAAGAACAAAUGUGUAAGUAACUAUGCACGUCUUGACGGUACCUAAUCAGAAAGCCACGGCUAACUACGUG
Molecule: ribosomal RNA, 496 nt
Filed under: uncultured bacterium
Lineage: Bacteria
Description: partial 16S ribosomal RNA
Rfam family: Bacterial small subunit ribosomal RNA
Source: RNAcentral